GUCCCUCGCAAUGGACAGCGCUUUAAAAUUCUAAUCUAAAUGGCGUGGGUUCGAAUCCCACCUGGGAUG
This is a non-coding RNA of Trichonephila inaurata madagascariensis, 69 nucleotides long. NCBI's taxonomy places the organism in Eukaryota, Metazoa, Arthropoda, Arachnida, Araneae, Nephilidae. The record is from the annotation of a GenBank genome assembly.